GAACCCUUGGCGCAGCGGUAGCGCGUCUGAUUCCAGCUAUCCCAUAAGGAGCGGCUGUGAAGGCUGCUUCAACGUCGUAUCUCACGGAUCCAGAAGGUCGUCCGUUCAAUCCGGGCAGGGUUCA
This 124-nucleotide transfer RNA is filed under the name Schizophyllum commune Tattone D. RNAcentral describes it as "tRNA-Trp". The record is from RNAcentral. Lineage: Eukaryota; Fungi; Basidiomycota; Agaricomycetes; Agaricales; Schizophyllaceae. RNAcentral also lists the same sequence under 1 other name.